This 229-nucleotide ribosomal RNA is filed under the name uncultured bacterium. RNAcentral describes it as "partial 16S ribosomal RNA". It matches the Rfam family "Bacterial small subunit ribosomal RNA", at positions 568 to 796 of the family's 1533-position model. The record is from RNAcentral.
UCCGUAGGUGGAUAAUUAAGUCAGAGGUGUAAUCCUGCAGCUCAACUGUAGAAUUGCCUUUGAUACUGGUUAUCUUGAGUCAUUAUGAAGUGGUUAGAAUGUGUAGUGUAGCGGUGAAAUGCAUAGAUAUUACACAGAAUACCGAUUGCGAAGGCAGAUCACUAAUAAUGUACUGACACUGAGGGACGAAAGCGUGGGGAGCGAACAGGAUUAGAUACCCUGGUAGUCC